GAGAGUCGUGUGGAAUACGUCUCCGUUGAGCCGCGAGAUAAGGAUACAAUAACCCUACAGCUAAAAGUAAAUCUUGUUCGUGUAAAAGUCUCCAAAGCUUUACAAAUAUAUACUUACGUGUAAUUGCGUGCUAGGUUGAUGACUGUUGCCGUGUAUUUGGGUGUAAAUAUACAUACGUGUAUACAUCGUGUACAGCAGAAGAAGUGAAAAAAGACGAGGACGAAAACGUCGAGGUCCAAG
Copidosoma floridanum is the source of this 240-nucleotide long non-coding RNA. Lineage: Eukaryota; Metazoa; Arthropoda; Insecta; Hymenoptera; Encyrtidae. The record is from RefSeq and is a predicted model, not a curated record.